GAUGAACGCUGGCGGCGUGCCUAAUACAUGCAAGUAGAACGCUGAAGCUUGGUGCUUGCACCGAGCGGAUGAGUUGCGAACGGGUGAGUAACGCGUAGGUAACCUGCCUCUUAGCGGGGGAUAACUAUUGGAAACGAUAGCUAAUACCGCAUAAAAGUCGAUAUCGCAUGAUAUUGAUUUGAAAGGUGCAAAUGCAUCACUAAGAGAUGGACCUGCGUUGUAUUAGCUAGUUGGUGAGGUAACGGCUCACCAAGGCGACGAUACAUAGCCGACCUGAGAGGGUGAUCGGCCACACUGGGACUGAGACACGGCCCAGACUCCUACGGGAGGCAGCAGUAGGGAAUCUUCGGCAAUGGGGGCAACCCUGACCGAGCAACGCCGCGUGAGUGAAGAAGGUUUUCGGAUCGUAAAGCUCUGUUGUAAGAGAAGAACGAGUGUGAGAGUGGAAAGUUCACACUGUGACGGUAACUUACCAGAAAGGGACGGCUAACUACGUGCCAGCAGCCGCGGUAAUACGUAGGUCCCGAGCGUUAUCCGGAUUUAUUGGGCGUAAAGCGAGCGCAGGCGGUUAGAUAAGUCUGAAGUUAAAGGCUGUGGCUUAACCAUAGUACGCUUUGGAAACUGUUUAACUUGAGUGCAGAAGGGGAGAGCGGAAUUCCAUGUGUAGCGGUGAAAUGCGUAGAUAUAUGGAGGAACACCGGUGGCGAAAGCGGCUCUCUGGUCUGUAACUGACGCUGAGGCUCGAAAGCGUGGGGAGCAAACAGG
This 765-nucleotide ribosomal RNA is filed under the name uncultured Streptococcus sp. Its description in RNAcentral is "bacterial SSU rRNA". It matches the Rfam family "Bacterial small subunit ribosomal RNA", at positions 28 to 776 of the family's 1533-position model. The record is from RNAcentral. Lineage: Bacteria; Bacillati; Bacillota; Bacilli; Lactobacillales; Streptococcaceae.